Molecule: ribosomal RNA, 301 nt
Filed under: uncultured bacterium
Lineage: Bacteria
Description: partial 16S ribosomal RNA
Rfam family: Bacterial small subunit ribosomal RNA
Source: RNAcentral
CAGUAGCCGCGGGAAUACGGAGGGGGCUAGCGUUGUUCGGAAUUACUGGGCGUAAAGCGCACGUAGGCGGCUUGGUAAGUUAGAGGUGAAAGCCCGGAGCUCAACUCCGGAAUUGCCUUUAAGACUGCCGAGCUAGUUGGUGAGAGAGGUAAGUGGAAUUCCGAGUGUAGAGGUGAAAUUCGUAGAUAUUCGGAAGAACACCAGUGGCGAAGGCGGCUUACUGGCUCAUUCUAGACGCUGAGGUGCGAAAGCGUGGGGAGCAAACAGGAUUAGAUACCCCGGUAGUCCCUGUCUCUUAUAC